AGAAAAGUGGCCUACUGGUUAGGAAGAGGUUGGACCACACUCAUAUAAAUGCAUAAUGUGUGGAACAGACUUAUUGCAUGCAACCUAUAUCCAUGUAUAAGAUCUAAAGCUAAGUUCUUCAUCAUAGAACUGUGUUUGACAGUGUUUACAGAAAAACCAUUUCAAAAGUAUCAUCCACAAGAAGGAUGAUAAAAUCCAUAAAUUGAAAAAUGCAUCACUAGCAAAGAAUUCAUGAAAAAAAUUGUGCAUCUCAAAGUCUCAGAAAACAAAAAGAAUUAUGUGAAUGCAGAAGUAUUAAAUGCAUAUCAUAUCACAAGACAAACAGAAACAAUCUUGAAUAAGGAAAGCAUAUUUGUGAACAUACU
RNAcentral lists this unclassified non-coding RNA (365 nucleotides) under Hevea brasiliensis (rubber tree). The record is from RNAcentral. Lineage: Eukaryota; Viridiplantae; Streptophyta; Magnoliopsida; Malpighiales; Euphorbiaceae.